UAGUUGUCACGUGCACCGAAUACAACAGGUGUAGUAGACCUUACAGUGAAAUGCUGAAUACAACAGGUGUAGUAGACCUUACAGUGAAAUGCUGAAUACAACAGGUGUAGGUAGACCUUACAGUGAAAUGCUGAAUACAACAGGUGUAGUAGACCUUACAGUGAAAUGCUGAAUACAACAGGUGUAGUAGACCUUACAGUGAAAUGCUGAAUACAACAGGUGUAGUAGACCUUACAGUGAAAUGCUGAAUACAACAGGCAUAGGUAGACCUUACAGUGAAAUGCUGAAUAAAACAGGCAUAGGUAGACCUUACAGUGAAAUGCUGAAUACAACAGGUGUAGUAGACCUUACAGUGAAAUGCUGAAUACAACAGGUGUAGGUAGACCUUACAGUGAAAUGCUGAAUACAACAGGUGUAGUAGACCUUACAGUGAAAUGCUGAAUACAACAGGUGUAGGUAGACCUUACAGUGAAAUGCUGAAUACAGUAGGUGUAGUAGACCUUACAGUGAAAUGCUGAAUACAACAGGUGUAGUAGACCUUACAGUGAAAUGCUGAAUACAACAGGUGUAGUAGACCUUACAGUGAAAUGCUGAAUAAAACAGGCAUAGAUAGACCUUACAGUGAAAUGCUGAAUAAAACAGGUGUAGGUAGACCUUACAGUGAACUGCUGAAUAAAACAGGUGUAGGUAGACCUUACAGUGAAAUGCUUACUUACAGGCUCUAAC
This is a long non-coding RNA of Oncorhynchus tshawytscha (Chinook salmon), 726 nucleotides long. The record is from Ensembl. Lineage: Eukaryota; Metazoa; Chordata; Actinopteri; Salmoniformes; Salmonidae.